RNAcentral lists this ribosomal RNA (497 nucleotides) under uncultured bacterium. Its description in RNAcentral is "partial 16S ribosomal RNA". It matches the Rfam family "Bacterial small subunit ribosomal RNA", at positions 28 to 507 of the family's 1533-position model. The record is from RNAcentral.
GAUGAACGCUGGCGGCGUGCCUAAUACAUGCAAGUCGAGCGAACGGACGAGAAGCUUGCUUCUCUGAUGUUAGCGGCGGACGGGUGAGUAACACGUGGAUAACCUACCUAUAAGACUGGGAUAACUUCGGGAAACCGGAGCUAAUACCGGAUGAUAUUUUGAACCGCAUGGUUCAAAAGUGAAAGACGGUCUUGCUGUCACUUAUAGAUGGAUCCGCGCUGCAUUAGCUAGUUGGUAAGGUAACGGCUUACCAAGGCAACGAUGCAUAGCCGACCUGAGAGGGUGAUCGGCCACACUGGAACUGAGACACGGUCCAGACUCCUACGGGAGGCAGCAGUAGGGAAUCUUCCGCAAUGCGCGAAAGCCUGACGGAGCAACGCCGCGUGAGUGAUGAAGGUCUUCGGAUCGUAAAACUCUGUUAUUAGGGAAGAACAUAUGUGUAAGUAACUGUGCACAUCUUGACGGUACCUAAUCAGAAAGCCACGGCUAACUACGUG